RNAcentral lists this ribosomal RNA (471 nucleotides) under uncultured Glomus. RNAcentral describes it as "SSU rRNA". It matches the Rfam family "Eukaryotic small subunit ribosomal RNA", at positions 569 to 1046 of the family's 1831-position model. The record is from RNAcentral. Lineage: Eukaryota; Fungi; Glomeromycota; Glomeromycetes; Glomerales; Glomeraceae.
AGCAGCCGCGGUAAUUCCAGCUCCAAUAGCGUAUAUUAAAGUUGUUGCAGUUAAAAAGCUCGUAGUUGAAUUUCGGGAUUAGUACGUUGGUCGUGCCUUCGGUACGUACUGGUGUUACUGAUUCCUACCUUCUGACGAACCAUCAUGUCAUUAAUUUGGUGUGGCGGGGAAUCAGGACUGUUACUUUGAAAAAUUAGAGUGUUUAAAGCAGGCUCGCGCUUGAAUACAUUAGCAUGGAAUAAUGAAAUAGGACGUUGACCCUAUUUUGUUGGUUUCUAGGAUUGACGUAAUGAUUAAUAGGGAUAGUUGGGGGCAUUAGUAUUCAAUUGUCAGAGGUGAAAUUCUUGGAUUUAUUGAAGACUAACUACUGCGAAAGCAUUUGCCAAGGAUGUUUUCAUUAAUCAAGAACGAAAGUUAGGGGAUCGAAGACGAUCAGAUACCGUCGUAGUCUUAACCAUAAACUAUGCCGAC